GGAGAAUUGGCAGAGUGGUCGAUUGCGGCAGUCUUGAAAACUGUUGUACCGCAAGGUACCGUAGGUUCGAAUCCUACAUUCUCCGCCA
This 88-nucleotide transfer RNA is filed under the name Fluviicola taffensis DSM 16823. RNAcentral describes it as "tRNA-Ser (TGA) (tRNA-Ser-TGA-1-1)". It matches the Rfam family "tRNA". Rfam says of the family: Transfer RNA (tRNA) molecules are approximately 80 nucleotides in length. Their secondary structure includes four short double-helical elements and three loops (D, anti-codon, and T loops). Lineage: Bacteria; Pseudomonadati; Bacteroidota; Flavobacteriia; Flavobacteriales; Crocinitomicaceae. RNAcentral also lists the same sequence under 3 other names. The record is from RNAcentral.